GGCUCUGGAAAGCUGAAAGGGCUGCACUGGAACAACACAGAUGAGAUAUUCUACACAUUAAUCUACUUAUCUGGAAUCACUUUGCCUCUAAAGGCCAGAGAAAAAUCACAGCUUCCUUGUCGGAGGGGAAAAGGACAGGUGAUCUGGGGAAAACGCAGCUACACCUGGAGCAAGGUCUCUUCCCGGCUUGGCAAUCUCAGCUGUGCCGGCGCUACGGGACCCGAGCCGUCCCAGAAACCAAAGGGCAGGCACGGCAGCAAACGCCUGAGGACUGAGAAGACGUCAAGGUCCAGACACUCGUCAUUAACACCUACUCACAACCGAUUCCCCCACCCACUUUGGCCUCACCAAGAUUUGGCAAGCAGGAGAAUUAAAUGUCACUUUGCUACCAUCCUCUGCUGAACCUCCAACAGAAAAACCCAUAUUGCCCAAGUACAAAGCAUGAAAUACUGCUGGCCUACCCUGACUUUUCAGCUAUUCUCCUUGCAUAUAGUAAAUGACUCCCCAGGAGACAUCAUCUUAAAGUCUGAGACACAAAAAAGGACCCAAAGUCCUAUAUGCUUGAAGAAUUGCAUGGCAAUAUAUUUAGUUAACAUUUUCUAUUUUAUUAGAAAAAACAGACAAUUCAAUUGUCGAUGUGAUCGUUUCAGGCUUCCCAGCCUCUCCUUUCUGACAUCAUCCUAUAUACUACAACCUCCACCAGAAAAGCAGUAUGGUACUGGGAAAAAGAGAUCUAAAGGCAGAACACUAGGGCUUCACUCUCAGCACUGUUAACUGAGUGACUUGACUAAGUCACUGAAAUUCACUGAAACUGCAGUUUCCCCUUCUGUCAAAGGGGGAUAACAAUAUCAGCUUCACAGGGUGCUGUGAAGGAAGCAAAUGAGAAAAUGAAACCUGCCUUGUACUUCAUGCAGGUUGAACAGAAAUGUUUUCUGAGCAUGUAUUGUUACAGCCCUCUGAGAUGGUAUAAAAGAAUGAAAGAAGACACGACCUGCCUUCCAGGAGUUUCACAAAAAAGAUGGGAUGAACACAGUGUUCACUUCCACCUUCCACCCUUUCACUAUGAAGGACCCUCACCAGAUGGUGGCACCAUGCUCUCGGACUUCCCAGCCUCCAGAACUCCAACAGGCAUUGGCAGCUACAGAGCAGGAGGCAAUUCAGCCUCUCUCCUCCACCCUGCCUCACUAGGACACAGACUGAUUGCAGCAUUUCUGCACAUUUUCUGCAGUUCUGCUUGCUCCACUUUCCUGUGAGGUCAAAUGCGGUAAAGGGAUGCUCCAACCCUACCCUCCAUGUACCUGCCUUUCCUGUGAUUCCGAAGAAGGGGUGGUUGGUUUUGCCCUCAAAGUGCCAUCUACUUAAGAAAACAGUUUCCUGCCAGCUUUAUCUGAGACCUGUGUUCCCAAGCACUCCCUCCAGGAGCCUUUGUGCACCCAUAUUUGAUCUUCACUGCAUUGAGAGCCUCUCCAAAUAUUAUCUUUUGGGAGUUAGUCUUCAAGGUUUAUCAAAUAUGAAAUUCAUAUUUCUGUCCCUGUUUUCUGGCAAAUUCUAAGGAGAAGGGUAGAAGACAUAUCUUUUGUCUGACCUUUUAAAUGGAAAUCCCAAUAUUUACAAGAGGUAAAAGGAAUUUUGAAGUAAACAUAAAGAGCAGCCUUAAAGUUGGGAAAUGUCCUAUCAGGGGAACAUAUAUCCUGCCAAUUAGUCAUGGAAGAAGGUAGAACAAUUACUUGACCUUUGCUUCAGUGGUUAGGGACCAGAAGAGCACCAUGCAGACUAUGUUCUUGCUGUGUAUAACUGUUCCCUCCCUGUGAAACUUAUUUCCCCCAACCCCUGCUUUCCGUUAUGUUUGUCCUUUAGAAUCUUUGGUACCAGCAGCAUCAGCAUCACAUGGCAGCUUAUUAGAGAUGCAGAAUUUUAGGCUCCUCCCCAAGCCCCAGAAGCAGCACAGGAAUCUGCAUUUAACAAGAUCCCCAGAUAUUCAUAUGCACAUAAAAUUUGGGAAGCACCACUGUGGAUCUCAGUUCAAGCACCAAUUUGCUUCACUGAUCAAUCACAUCAGGUUCCUGUUACGCAUACUCAUAAAAUGAUCCUUCAGAGCUCUCGCUCUGUAGCUGUGCAUUUAUUAUGAUAAUUUUUUUCCUAUUCCUGUGUAUCUCUCUCACUAAACUAGUGUCAGGCUCUAUGGCUU
Molecule: long non-coding RNA, 2188 nt
Organism: Homo sapiens (human)
Lineage: Eukaryota; Metazoa; Chordata; Mammalia; Primates; Hominidae
Gene: PART1
Product: prostate androgen-regulated transcript 1
Source: Ensembl